GUUUUAUCUGUUGAUAGCUCAAUCAGUAGAGAAAUAGAUUCUUAAUCUCAGGGCUGUGAGUUCAAGCCCCACAUUGAGCA
Molecule: non-coding RNA, 80 nt
Organism: Podarcis lilfordi (Lilford's wall lizard)
Lineage: Eukaryota; Metazoa; Chordata; Lepidosauria; Squamata; Lacertidae
Source: the annotation of a GenBank genome assembly